GCACCUUUAGCUCAGCUGGCUAGAGCACCUGACUCUUAAUCAGGGUGUCCGGGGUUCGAAUCCCCGAAGGUGUACCA
Molecule: transfer RNA, 77 nt
Filed under: Clostridiales bacterium
Lineage: Bacteria; Bacillati; Bacillota; Clostridia; Eubacteriales
Also listed under: 2 other names
Description: tRNA-Lys
Rfam family: tRNA
About the family: Transfer RNA (tRNA) molecules are approximately 80 nucleotides in length. Their secondary structure includes four short double-helical elements and three loops (D, anti-codon, and T loops).
Source: RNAcentral